GAGGGACCACCCUCCAAGGCUAAAUACUACCUAGUGACCGAUAGCGUAUAGUACCGUGAGGGAAAGGUGAAAAGAACCCCGGGAGGGGAGUGAAAUAGAACCUGAAACCCUGCACUUACAAGCUGUGGAAGCACAUUUCUUGUGUGACCGCGUACUUUUUGUAGAACGGGCCAACGAGUUACGUUAAGUAGCAAGGUUAAGCACUUAAGGUGCGGAGCCGUAGCGAAAGCGAGUUUUAACUGAGCGUUCAGUUACUUGACGUAGACCCGAAACCGGGCGACCUACCCAUGAGCAGGAUGAAGCGAAAGUAAAAUUUCGUGGAGGUCCGAACCCACGAGCGUUGAAAAGCUCGGGGAUGACUUGUGGGUAGCGGUGAAAUUCCAAUCGAGCCCGGAGAUAGCUGGUUCUCCCCGAAAUAGCUUUAGGGCUAGCCUCAAGGUGAGAGAUACGGAGGUAGAGCACUGAAUGUCCUAGGGGGUAUUGCACCUACCGAAGACUAUCAAACUCCGAAUGCCGUCAUCUUAUACUUGGGAGUCAGACUGUGGGUGAUAAGAUUCAUAGUCGAAAGGGCAACAGCCCAGAUCGUCAGCUAAGGUCCCUAAAUGUAAGUUAAGUGGUAAAGGAUGUGGGAUUGCACAGACAACCAGGAUGUUGGCUUAGAAGCAGCCACUCAUUCAAAGAGUGCGUAAUAGCUCACUGGUCGAGUGAUCCUGCGCCGAAGAUUUCCGGGGCUAAAACUUACUACCGAAGCUACGGCAUCAGUAAUGAUGGGUAGGGGAGCUUCCCAUACGGGUUGAAGCAUGACCGUAAGGACAUGUGGACAGUAUGGGAGUGAGAAUGUUGGCAUGAGUAGCGAGAUGUGGGUGAGAAUCCCACAGGCCGUAAACCCAAGGUUUCCAGGGGAAGGUUCGUCCGCCCUGGGUUAGUCGGGACCUAAGCUGAGGCCGAAAGGCGUAGGUGAUGGACAACAGGUUGAUAUUCCUGUACUACCGAUAACCGUUUGAGAGAAGGGAUGACACAGUAGGAUAAGCUAAGCACACUGUUGGUUAUGUGUGCCCAAGCAUUGAGGCAGUCAAAGUAGGCAAAUCCGCUUUGAUAAUGCUGGGAUGUGAUGGGGAGCGAAAUUUAGUAGCGAAGUAGCUGAUUUCACACUGUCAAGAAAAGUCUCUAUCGAGGUUAAAGGUACCCGUACCGCAAACCGACACAGGUGGGUGAGGAGAGUAUCCUAAGGCCAGCGAGAGAACUGUUGUUAAGGAACUCGGCAAAAUGACCCCGUAACUUAGGGAUAAGGGGUGCCACCAUCAGGUGGCCGCAGAGAAUAGGCCCAAGCGACUGUUUACCAAAAACAUAGGUUUCUGCUAAGUCGCAAGACGAUGUAUAGGAGCUGACGCCUGCCCGGUGCUGGAAGGUUAAGGGGAUCUGUUAGAGCAAUCGAAGCAGUGAACUUAAGCCCCAGUAAACGGCGGCCGUAACUAUAACGGUCCUAAGGUAGCGAAAUUCCUUGUCGGGUAAGUUCCGACCCGCACGAAAGGCGUAACGAUUUGGGCACUGUCUCAACAACAGACUCGGUGAAAUUGUAAUUCCGGUGAAGAUGCCGGAUACCUGCGACAGGACGGAAAGACCCCAUGGAGCUUUACUGUAGCUUGACAUUGGGUCUUGGUACUACAUGUACAGGAUAGGUGGGAGGCUUUGAAACCAGGACGCCAGUUUUGGCGGAGCCAUCCUUGGGAUACCACCCUUGUAGUACUGGGACUCUAACCAUAGGCCAUGAAUCUGGUCUUGGGACACUGUCAGGUGGGCAGUUUGACUGGGGCGGUCGCCUCCCAAAAGGUAACGGAGGCGCUCAAAGGUUCUCUCAGUACGGUCGGAAAUCGUACGUAGAGUGUAAAGGCAAAAGAGAGCUUGAUUGCAAGACAUACAGGUCGAGCAAGGAUGAAAAUCGGACUUAGUGAUCCGGUGGUUCUGCGUGGAAGGGCCAUCGCUCAACGGAUAAAAGCUACCCUGGGGAUAACAGGCUUAUCUCCCCCAAGAGUCCACAUCGACGGGGAGGUUUGGCACCUCGAUGUCGGCUCAUCACAUCCUGGGGCUGUAGUAGGUCCCAAGGGUUGGGCUGUUCGCCCAUUAAAGUGGUACGCGAGCUGGGUUCAGAACGUCGUGAGACAGUUCGGUCCCUAUCCGUCGCAGGCGUAGGAAAUUUGAGAAGACCUGUCCUUAGUACGAGAGGACCGGGAUGGACGUACCUCUGGUGUACCAGUUGUCCUGCCAAGGGCAUGGCUGGGUAGCUAUGUACGGAAUGGAUAAGCGCUGAAAGCAUCUAAGCGCGAAGCCAACUUCAAGAUAAGAUUUCCCACCGCAAGGGUAAGACCCCAGAAAGACUAUCUGGUUGAUAGGUCGAAGGUGUAAGUGCAGCAAUGUAUUUAGCUUAUCGAUACUAAUAGGUCGAGGACUUGACCAA
Molecule: ribosomal RNA, 2455 nt
Filed under: Clostridioides difficile
Lineage: Bacteria; Bacillati; Bacillota; Clostridia; Peptostreptococcales; Peptostreptococcaceae
Description: bacterial LSU rRNA
Rfam family: Bacterial large subunit ribosomal RNA
Source: RNAcentral